Molecule: ribosomal RNA, 241 nt
Filed under: uncultured bacterium
Lineage: Bacteria
Description: partial 16S ribosomal RNA
Rfam family: Bacterial small subunit ribosomal RNA
Source: RNAcentral
UAAUGUCUGGGAAACUGCCUGAUGGAGGGGGAGUAACUACUGGAAACGGUAGCUAAUACCGCAUAACGUCGCAAGGCCAAGAGGGGACCGUUCGGGCCUCUUGCCAUCAGAUGUGCCCAGAUGGGAUUAGCUAGUAGGUGGGGUAACGGCUCACCUAGGCGACGAUCCCUAGCUGGUCUGAGAGGAUGACCAGCCACACUGGAACUGAGACACGGUCCAGACUCCUACGGGAGGCAGCAUG